UCCAGAUUGGAGAGGACCAUGGAGAUGUAGAAGAAUUGAUGAUCCCUUCAUCCAACAUUUUAGAAAUUUGGGAUUGGACUUCUUGUUUGUGCACUUCAGGGAAUCUAUAUGAUUUU
Non-coding RNA from Bombyx mori (domestic silkworm), 116 nucleotides. Lineage: Eukaryota; Metazoa; Arthropoda; Insecta; Lepidoptera; Bombycidae. The record is from RefSeq and is marked provisional.